UAGUUCUGAUGGUGCCUGGCAAAAGUGCUCUGCCCACGAUUAUUGAUCACAGAGUACGGAAAGUCUGAGACCCCACUUCUGCCGUCGAAGUCUCUCCUGGCUCAGCGGGGGAGUGAAGCCUGGUGUUCUGCCUAUGAUCCAGUCUGGCGCCCCUGAAGUUCAGUUGGUGGAGUGCUGCAGAAUGGCUGCCACACAUCAUCUAGGUGUGCUGUCAUUGUGAUGCAUGGAAUAUACCCAUUACCUGUUCCUUUGCAUCCCUAUGCAUGUUGAUGCAGCUACCUCCUUGUACUACAUAUAUGUAAGAAUGCUAUUCAUUGAUUACACCUCCACCUUUAAUACUAUAAUUCCAUCCAGACUAAUCACCAAGCUUAUUGAUCUGGGUAUCAGCACCGGUCUUGGAUCUGGAGUUGGAUUCUGGUUUUCCUAAAUGGCAGUUCACAGACUGAGUGUCGAUGGAAAGCUUUCUUCCAUGCUGGUCAUCAAUAUAGGGGCCCCUCAGGGCUGUAUGCUUAGCCUCCUGCUGUUUUCCUUAUUUACCCACAAUUGUGUGGCAAGACACAGUUCCAAAUGCAUCCAUAAGUAUGCUGACGAUACUGUCAUCACUGGCUGAAUCACCAGUAACGAUCAGACGGCCUAGAGGGAUGAGGUCAAGAACCUGGUGGAGUGGUGAUUGGACAAUAAUCUCUCUCUCAGUGUCAGCGAAACUGAAGAGCUGGUCAUCGAUUUCAGAAAGUGGGGUUGGGACCACUCCCCUGUUCACAUCAAUGGGGUGGCUGUAGAGAUGGUUAAUAACCUCUGGUUAUUGGAUACCAGCUAGUGCUGAGUUUUAUUUAAAUUGAGUGCUUAGCUUUGUUGUUAUCACUGUUGUUGUGUGUUUAAGUUGGUCUUUCUUUAAUGUCUUCGAAGUGGAGAAUGCAUGCAAAUGAGCUCUUCAUUGCACUUGUGCAUAUGACAAAUAAACUGAACUAUAAUUGGCCCUGGUGUGAGUGUGUGUGUUUGUAUCUGUGUGUCCCCAGUGAUGGCAAAGUGCCAUAUGGCAAAAUUGUCAGAAUCAUACGAGAUGUAGAUUCUAAAAGCUAUGCCUAAAAAGAAGUCUAUGUAAACAUUUCAGUAAGCAUCUAAAACAAAGGAACAUUACGAUUAUUUUGUGUUUUCGGUGUGAAUCAAUUCUGACAUCAAAUCCAGAC
Molecule: long non-coding RNA, 1187 nt
Organism: Lepisosteus oculatus (spotted gar)
Lineage: Eukaryota; Metazoa; Chordata; Actinopteri; Semionotiformes; Lepisosteidae
Source: RefSeq, a predicted model, not a curated record